GGCCAAUCUGCAGUACCUUACUUUGGUUACCGACUGACAUGAUUAUUAACACUAAAGGCAUGAUACCCAAUUCAGACGUUCAUCAAUAUUAGCUAUUCCACAUCAGUCUAUUACCAAUGUGCCACCAGAGAUAUAGACAGUUAUCUGAUAACUAUCAUCUAGCUCAGCAUUAAUUAUCUUCCAGCUACGUUCCAAUUCAUCACCACGUGGGCAAAUAUCUCACGAUCUCCACAAAGCU
RNAcentral lists this long non-coding RNA (238 nucleotides) under Elaeis guineensis (African oil palm). RNAcentral describes it as "long non-coding RNA (EGUI_LNC036167)". The record is from RNAcentral. Lineage: Eukaryota; Viridiplantae; Streptophyta; Magnoliopsida; Arecales; Arecaceae.